RNAcentral lists this ribosomal RNA (494 nucleotides) under uncultured bacterium. Its description in RNAcentral is "partial 16S ribosomal RNA". It matches the Rfam family "Bacterial small subunit ribosomal RNA", at positions 28 to 504 of the family's 1533-position model. The record is from RNAcentral.
GAUGAACGCUGACGGCGUGCCUAAUACAUGCAAGUCGAGCGAACGGACGAGAAGCUUGCUUCUCUGAUGUUAGCGGCGGACGGGUGAGUAACACGUGGAUAACCUACCUAUAAGACUGGGAUAACUUCGGGAAACCGGAGCUAAUACCGGAUAAUAUUUUGAACCGCAUGGUUCAAAAGUGAAAGACGGUCUUGCUGUCACUUAUAGAUGGAUCCGCGCUGCAUUAGCUAGUUGGUAAGGUAACGGCUUACCAAGGCAACGAUGCAUAGCCGACCUGAGAGGGUGAUCGGCCACACUGGAACUGAGACACGGUCCAGACUCCUACGGGAGGCAGCAGUAGGGAAUCUUCCGCAAUGGGCGAAAGCCUGACGGAGCAACGCCGCGUGAGUGAUGAAGGUCUUCGGAUCGUAAAACUCUGUUAUUAGGGAAGAACAUAUGUGUAAGUAACUGUGCACAUCUUGACGGUACCUAAUCAGAAAGCCACGGCUAACUAC